GUCCUUUAGAUUAAUAAUUUAAGGUCUGACCUGCCCACUGAAAAAUUUGAAUGGCCUCAGUAAUUUGACUGUGCGAAGGUAGCAUAAUCAUUGGUUUUUUAAUUAAAAGCUUGUAUGAAUGGUUGGACGAGAUAAAAUCUGUCUUUGAGUAAAUUUUAGAAUUUAAUUUUUAAGUUAAAAAGCUUAAAUUUUUAUAAAAGACGAGAAGACCCUAUAGAUCUUUAUAGUAUUAUAUUUAUUUUUAAUUAAGAUUAUUUUAUUAUUUAAAUUUAAUAUUAUUUUAUUGGGGUAAUAUGAAGAUUAAUUUAAUUCUUUAUUAUAUUUUUUCAAUAAUUUUUGUUUAUUUGAUCCUUAAUUUAAGAUUAAAAGAUUAAGUUACCUUAGGGAUAACAGCGUAAUUUUUUUAAAGAGUUCAUAUCGAUAAAAAAGUUUGCGACCUCGAUGUUGGAUUAAAAAUAAUUCUAGGUGUAGAAGUUUAGAUUAUUGUCUGUUCGACCAUUAUAUUUUUACA
This 511-nucleotide ribosomal RNA is filed under the name Necterosoma undecimlineatum. RNAcentral describes it as "partial 16S ribosomal RNA". The stretch from base 386 to 511 matches the Rfam family "Bacterial large subunit ribosomal RNA", at positions 2473 to 2600 of the family's 2925-position model. The record is from RNAcentral. Lineage: Eukaryota; Metazoa; Arthropoda; Insecta; Coleoptera; Dytiscidae.